Molecule: unclassified non-coding RNA, 146 nt
Filed under: soil metagenome
Description: partial internal transcribed spacer 1
Source: RNAcentral
UAAUAAGUGUUUUAUGGCACUUUUUAAAUCCAUAUCCACCUUGUGUGCAAUGUCAGUCGAUCUUCUUCAUGGAGAUCGACCAAACAUCAACCUUUAUCUUUUAACUCUUUGUCUGAAAAAUAUUAUGAAUAAACAACUUCAAAAUA